AGUGUCCCUCAACAAAGCUUUGUCAGGGGAGAGAAACAUCGCUCCAUUUACAGGGUGGAUUUGUCCUGGAGAACUAGUGAACGCUCAGAAUAAGGGCCUGGCAUUUGAAAUCCUAGAGUUUAUCAUCACAGAAGCAAGUGUUUUAAGAUUACUUCUGUUGCCCUCAUCUGCAAGAAACUGAACGUGCAUAGCAGAGUUAAAUAUACUGUGUGGGGUUGGAGUAAGGCACGCUGUGGAAGAAAUCAUAGAACCGGAGAUCAUCUGUGCUUUCCAGAACUGUGAGAGGUUUUGGACAGGGCUCCAACCUAUAUUAGCACUGUGUGGUUACUCUUCUGCUACACCUUGGUUUAUAUAAGUAACAUGUGCCUGUAACUUUCUUCCAAAAGGAAACCAUACUUCUUAGAAGAAAAUUCUGACUUUAUGGAAAACAGAACUAUAGUGAGAAGAAUGUGACAUGUUUGCAAAUUUGAGUGUUUUUUUUUUUCUUAAUGAGGGGAAAACUAUUUUAUUGCCUGCUUAACGGUCCACCUGGAACUAAAGGGAUACUACUUUCUAACAAGGUGUAUCUAGUAGGAGAGAAAUCCACCACAAUAAAUAUAUUUGUUAAUAGUUUUU
This 615-nucleotide long non-coding RNA is filed under the name Rattus norvegicus (Norway rat). RNAcentral's name for it is "long non-coding RNA NONRATT000115". The record is from RNAcentral. Lineage: Eukaryota; Metazoa; Chordata; Mammalia; Rodentia; Muridae.